Corythoichthys intestinalis (scribbled pipefish) is the source of this 677-nucleotide long non-coding RNA. RefSeq lists it as uncharacterized. NCBI's taxonomy places the organism in Eukaryota, Metazoa, Chordata, Actinopteri, Syngnathiformes, Syngnathidae. The transcript is spliced from 4 exons. The record is from RefSeq and is a predicted model, not a curated record.
UUGAGAGGUACAGAGAUUUGCUUUAGAAUGGUAACUGGUGGAUUGCACUGACUCUUGUGUGCUGGUAACCUGGAAGUGACAAGGAGGAAAGAGUGGGAUGGCUGACUCAGCUGUGAGAGGAGCUAAGCUCACCAACCUAAACAACAACAGUGAAGAUUAGCGAAGUGACUCCAUGAGUGUGAGGAAGCCAACUGAUGCCUGUUUAUGAAUUCCGUGCAGCUCUAAACAUGAAGGCACAGGACACAAAAGAGAUUAAACAAAAAUCUAAAUUGUGCAACUUCGAAAACACUCUCGAUCUCCAUCCCAGACAUUGGCAACUGCAUGGCCAGUUACAAGAAGAUUCACCAGACUUUGACUACAAAAUAUAUAAAUAAAGAACAGUUAUGAAGAGGAAAAAAAAAAUUGAAUUAAAAAUGAAAAUUUUGACCAUAUCAUUUUUUGUGAUAAAAUGUUUUCUGGUACCAGCCAUGGCCGUGCACUGGAUCUAUAAGAGGCUCCAUUGUGUCCUGGAUCUCAUUUUUUAUGUUCUCAAUGCCCUGUGCAGACCAACAGAUAAAAAAAUGACAUUCACUCUCCACAAUUUUAAGUAUAUUUUCUUCCCUCUCAUUACCUUGGUGAGGAUGACAGAGUAGAGGAAAAGUAAAACUCCACAGCACCCCUCCCAGGUGUGAAAGAGG